CAAUUUAUAUCUUAAAUAUUAAAGUUUUUCAUUUACAUUGAAAAUAAGUUUGUGUAAUUCAAAUUAAAUUGA
This 72-nucleotide transfer RNA is filed under the name Paradelphomyia sp. ZK-2016. RNAcentral's name for it is "tRNA-Val". Lineage: Eukaryota; Metazoa; Arthropoda; Insecta; Diptera; Limoniidae. The record is from RNAcentral.